ACUUUUUCCCCACAAACGCCCCACACGCUCAAAGCUGCCACCUGUCUCUUCACACGAGAUAUGUAAGUAGCGCGUGCGGGGCUAACAUAACGUUCGUUAGCCCCUUCCAUUAUCCCCCCCAAGGUCCCAUUUACUCCUUCAAACCCUUCAUUCGACAGCUCCAGGUUAGGUAUCUCAAAACCCUCUUCUCCCUCUCCUCCCUCUCGAGUGCCUGACCCUGACUGUUUCUCCCUCGCCAGAGCAUCUUCUCCUUCUCCGGCACUGGCACCUACAACGGCAACCGACGAUAUCAGAGAAACCGGCGGCAUUUGUCAUCUUCUCCUUCUCCGGCACCGGCACCUACAACGGCAACCGGACUCCCCAGCCCAUCUUUUCACCUCGUUUUUAUUUUCUUUUUUUUUCUGAUCUUUUCACUCAUUGAAGGUGGUGACUAUCUCUUCAGUCUUUCAUCUCAUCAUCAAGAAUUUCAUCAAUAUGCAGACCAUCUUCAUCUCUUCUUUAAUUAAUGCAGCUGCUGCAAAUUAAACCAUUUGUUUAGAUGAUCAAAACUGGUUAAUCUUUGGUUUUUUUAAUUUGUUUAUUGAUCGAUUGACGAGACUUCCAGCUUACGUGACUUGCGCGGCCCCCCACCUACAGCACCAACCGCACAGAUAAACUUAUUGAGUCAAACUCCAUUAUUAAUUUGCUAACUGGCUGAUGGUGAAGACUUUCAGAGUCAUCAGUCAUGGUGACCAUUAAUUCUAAUUGCUUGAGAUCUGAUGGGAUAAUUCUGUAUUAAUUUCUGUUUAUUUUGAUGAACUGACUGCAAUUCCAUGAACUGUGUAGCUGGGUUUUUGUCUCUGAAGAAAUUCCAGAUUCCCAGGUGGUUAGUGUGGAAGGAGAGGCUAAAUAUGUCAUUGCACAGUUGCACUGACUGGGUUAGGCCUAGAUAAGAAUGGCAACUCCAAGAACAGAACUACCCCACACAUCCACUGACCCAUGCACAGCGUUGAGCCUGAGAGAGAGAAAGAGAGAGGUAGACAUCUCACCUUGCUAGAACAAAACCAUUAAAAAGCUUGUGGGACCUCCAACUGUUGUUUGUUUUGUUCAGCUACGACUCUAUAAAAAAAGUAGCCCAGCUGCGAUGAAGAAGAAACAGUACUGAAGACAUGGCUACCCACUGCAUUAAUUGAUCUGGUCCCCCGGCCAACUCCAAUUUGCUCAUCAAGCGUGGGUUGUACACCAAAGCCACUAGAAAAUGCCUACACCCUUAUUUCUCCUUUCCUUCAAUUUCAGUUACAUCUGAUCACUCCUUCACAUGUGUGAAUUCACUAUUCAGUAAUGGAGUGUCAAAUGAUCUGGUCCGCCGGUUUCUCUGAUAUCUGGAAAACGAAAACAUCAGAAAAAAAAAA
This is a long non-coding RNA of Nelumbo nucifera (sacred lotus), 1391 nucleotides long. RefSeq lists it as uncharacterized. Lineage: Eukaryota; Viridiplantae; Streptophyta; Magnoliopsida; Proteales; Nelumbonaceae. The record is from RefSeq and is a predicted model, not a curated record.